Molecule: ribosomal RNA, 820 nt
Filed under: Escherichia coli
Lineage: Bacteria; Pseudomonadati; Pseudomonadota; Gammaproteobacteria; Enterobacterales; Enterobacteriaceae
Description: partial 23S ribosomal RNA
Rfam family: Bacterial large subunit ribosomal RNA
Source: RNAcentral
AUUGAGCCUUGAUGUGUAGGAUAGGUGGGAGGCUUUGAAGUGUGGACGCCAGUCUGCAUGGAGCCGGCCUUGAAAUACCACCCUUUAAUGUUUGAUGUUCUAACGUUGGCCCCUGAUCGGGGUUGCGGACAGUGUCUGGUGGGUAGUUUGACUGGGGCGGUCUCCUCCUAAAGAGUAACGGAGGAGCACGAAGGUUGGCUAAUCCUGGUCGGACAUCAGGAGGUUAGUGCAAUGGCAUAAGCCAGCUUGACUGCGAGCGUGACGGCGCGAGCAGGUGCGAAAGCAGGUCAUAGUGAUCCGGUGGUUCUGAAUGGAAGGGCCAUCGCUCAACGGAUAAAAGGUACUCCGGGGAUAACAGGCUGAUACCGCCCAAGAGUUCAUAUCGACGGCGGUGUUUGGCACCUCGAUGUCGGCUCAUCACAUCCUGGGGCUGAAGUAGGUCCCAAGGGUAUGGCUGUUCGCCAUUUAAAGUGGUACGCGAGCUGGGUUUAGAACGUCGUGAGACAGUUCGGUCCCUAUCUGCCGUGGGCGCUGGAGAACUGAGGGGGGCUGCUCCUAGUACGAGAGGACCGGAGUGGACGCAUCACUGGUGUUCGGGUUGUCAUGCCAAUGGCACUGCCCGGUAGCUAAAUGCGGAAGAGAUAAGUGCUGAAAGCAUCUAAGCACGAAACUUGCCCCGAGAUGAGUUCUCCCUGACUCCUUGAGAGUCCUGAAGGAACGUUGAAGACGACGACGUUGAUAGGCCGGGUGUGUAAGCGCAGCGAUGCGUUGAGCUAACCGGUACUAAUGAACCGUGAGGCUUAACCUUACAACGCCGAAG